GACAGAGGCCUCGAGCGUUAGGCGGAAUCACUGGGCUUAAAGCGUGUGUAGGCGGGCCCGUAAGUGUCUUGUGAAAUCCCACGGCUCAACCGUGGAACUGCUGGGCAUACUGCGGGUCUUGGGCCAACUAGGGGCAGCCGGAACAAGCGGUGGAGCGGUGAAAUGCGUAGAUAUCGCUUGGAACGCCGAAGGUGAAAACAGGCUGCUGGGGUUGCGCCGACGCUGAGACACGAAAGCGUGGGGAGCAAACGGG
This 253-nucleotide ribosomal RNA is filed under the name uncultured bacterium. Its description in RNAcentral is "partial 16S ribosomal RNA". It matches the Rfam family "Bacterial small subunit ribosomal RNA", at positions 524 to 776 of the family's 1533-position model. The record is from RNAcentral.